RNAcentral lists this long non-coding RNA (609 nucleotides) under Mytilus galloprovincialis (Mediterranean mussel). Lineage: Eukaryota; Metazoa; Mollusca; Bivalvia; Mytilida; Mytilidae. The record is from RNAcentral.
UGUACGUGUUAGAAUAAAAUUCACACAAUUAUAAGCAAACAUUUUUUUACUAUAUAUAUUUCAACACUAUAAAUCAAAUUUUUUUAUCCAAAAUUUAACACAGAAUAAUUUUUUUUUGUCAUCUCAUUGAACACAACAUUUAUGUUCAUCCAAUUGGGGGUCAGAAUUUUUUUAGGAAAAAAACCAGAACCCCUAUGAUACCACCCACAAUUUCAGCUUGAUCUGUGUUUUGUGGUAAUAGGCAUUGUGUAAACCCACAUUAUUUAUAAUAUAAUAGUUUAACAAUAGUUGGUCGAGGCAAACUUAAAAAUUAAGUUAGAGAAUGGAAAUUAUUUUUCUAUUUGUAAAUGGGCAUAACUCUGGAACUGUAAAAGUUAUGACACCUAAGUUCAAACUUGGUCUGUGUUUUGUGGAAAUAAGCAUUGUGUAUAGAUUUUGUAACAUUUAGUUGAAGAAAACUAAAAUUAAAGAAUGGGAACCAAUUUUUGGGAUGCAAUAACUUACAGGAGUACCAAGGCCACAUUUAAAAGAAUGUCUGUUUCCCCUCCCCGGGUCUACCCUUUGUAAACAGACCAGGAAGGCAGGUUUUUUUUUUUUUUUUUUUUUUUU